ACUGGUUAUACUUUCCCUCACUACAUGUUGAAAACAGCUAAAGCAAGUUGUCCAUGAUACUAGUCACCGCCUUUCCCUUGGGCCAUAUACACUGCACCAUCCUGCAAGUCAGCUCCUAAUAGAGUCUUUGAUUGGCGUUGGUGUUGACUUGGCAUGUUAAGAAUAGGGGUAUACUGGUGAACGACAGACACAAACUGGUAUUGUGAAACAAAAUGUGGUGAGAGUCUGCCUGCAAUGCACGAGACCAGGGUUCGAUCCCUGGGUUGGGAAGAGCCCCUGGAGAAGCAAAUGGCAAUCCACUCCAAUAUUCUUUCCUGGAGCAUCCCCUGGACAGAGGAGCCUGGCGGGCUACAGUCCAUGGGGUUGCAAAGAGCUGGACACAGCUGAGCGACUAACACAAGAAAUGGUGAAAUUACAGAAUGCUAUGAACUUCCCUCAUUCCUUCUUUCUUUAUUCAACAAAGAUUGAGUACUCAGUGUAUUAUGACAGGCAUUGUCCUAAGUGCUGAGGAUCAAACCAUGUGCCUAGUCUCAUGGAGCUCAUUGCUCUGUGUAACUGGUUGACCUGAGGUCUGGGUCCACAUUUCGAGACAACGCGAGUGACAGAUCAGAAUAGGGUAAAGUAACAGAAGGAAAAUAAGAAAAUGUCUUCUGGGGGAUAUCAGAAAAUAUAGACCCAAAGCCGUAGUGAAAUAGUAGAGUUUAAAAAGAAUGAAGACAGGGGGAGAAGAUCUAGAUCUGAUAGAGUGCCUGAUGAACUAUGGAAUGAGGUUCGUGACAUUGUACAGGAGACAGGGAUCAAGAUCAUCCCCAUGGAAAAGAAAUGCAAAAAAGCAAAAUGGCUGUCUGGGGAGGCCUUACAAAUAGCUGUGAAAAGAAGAAAAGCGAAAAGCAAAGGAGAAAAGGAAAGAUAUAAGCAUCUGAAUGCAGAGUUCCAAAGAAUAGCAAGAAGAGAUAAGAAAGCCUUCUUCAGCGAUCAAUGCAAAGAAAUGGAGGAAAACAACAGAAUGGGAAAGACUAGAGAGAUCUUCAAGAAAAUCAGAGAUACCAAAGGAAUAUUUCAUGCAAAGAUGGGCUCGAUAAAGGACAGAAAUGGUAUGGACCUAACAGAAGCGGAAGAUAUUAAGAAGAGAUGGCAAGAAUACACAGAAGAACUGUACAAAAAAGCUCUUCACGACCCAGAUAAUCAGAUUGGUGUCAUCACUGACCUAGAGCCAGACAUCCUGGAAUGUGAAGUCAAGUGGGCCUUAGAAAGCAUCACUAUGAACAAAACUAGUGGAGGUGAUAGAAUUCCAGUUGAGCUAUUCCAAAUCCUGAAAGAUGAUGCUGCAAAAGUGCUGCACUCAAUAUGCCAGCAAAUUUGGAAAACUCAGCAGUAGCCACAGGACUGGAAAAGGUCAGUUUUCAUUCCAAUCCCAAAGAAAGGCAAUGCCAAAGAAUGCUCAAACUACCACACAAUUGGACUCAUCUCACACGAUUAAGUAAUGCUCAAAAUUCUCCAAGCCAGGCUUCAGCAAUAUGUGAACCGUGAACUUCCUGAUGUACAAGCUGGUUUUAGAAAAGGCAGAGGAACCAGAGAUCAAAUUGCCAACAUCCGCUGGAUCAUGGAAAAAGCAAGAGAGUUCCAGUAAAACAUCUAUUUCUGCUUUCUUGACUAUGCCAAAGCCUUUGACUGUGUGGAUCACAAUAAACUGUGGAAAAUUCUGAAAGAGAUGGGAAUACCAGACCACCUGAUCUGCCUCUUGAGAAAUUUGUAUGCAGGUCAGGAAGCAACAGUUAGAACUGGACAUGGAACAACAGACUGGUUCCAAAUAGGAAAAGGAAUAAGUCAAGGCUGUCUAUUGUCACCCUGCUUAUUUAACUUCUAUGCAGAGUACAUCAUGAGAAACGCUGGACUGAAAAAAAACACAAGCUGGAAUCAAGAUUGCAGGGAGAAAUAUCAAUAACCUCAGAUAUGCAGAUGACACCACCCUUAUGGCAGAAAGUGAAGAGGAACUAAAAAAACUAAGAUCAUGGCAUCCGGUCCCAUCACUUCAUGGGUAAUAGAUGGGGAAACAGUAGAAACAGUGUCAGACUUUAUUUUUCUGGGCUCCAAAAUCACUGCAGAUGGUGAUUGCAGCCAUGAAAUUAAAAGACACUUACUCCUUGGAAGGAAAGUUAUGACCAAUCUAGAUAGCAUAUUCAAAAGCAGAGAUAUUACUUUGCCAACAAAGGUUC
This is a long non-coding RNA of Bos taurus (domestic cattle), 2216 nucleotides long. Lineage: Eukaryota; Metazoa; Chordata; Mammalia; Artiodactyla; Bovidae. The record is from Ensembl.